Molecule: ribosomal RNA, 443 nt
Filed under: uncultured bacterium
Lineage: Bacteria
Description: partial 16S ribosomal RNA
Rfam family: Bacterial small subunit ribosomal RNA
Source: RNAcentral
CCUACGGGAGGCAGCAGUGGGGAAUAUUGGGCAAUGGGCGCAAGCCUGACCCAGCAACGCCGCGUGAAGGAAGAAGGCUUUCGGGUUGUAAACUUCUUUUCUCAGGGACGAAGCAAGUGACGGUACCUGACGAAUAAGCCACGGCUAACUACGUGCCAGCAGCCGCGGUAAUACGUAGGUGGCAAGCGUUAUCCGGAUUUAGUGGGUGUAAAGGGCGUGUAGGCGGGAAAGCAAGUCAGAUGUGAAAACCAUGGGCUCAACCCAUAGCCUGCAUUUGAAACUGUUUUUCUUGAGUGCUGGAGAGGCAGACGGAAUUCCUAGUGUAGCGGUGAAAUGCGUAGAUAUUCGGAGGAACACCAGUGGCGAAGGCGGAUUGCUGGACAGCAACUGACGCUGAGGCGCGAAAGCGUGGGGAGCAAACAGGAUUAGAUACCCGAGUAGUC